CAUAACCUCGGGAAACUGGGGAUAAUUCCGGAUAACGCAUAUUUGCUGGAAUGCUUUAUGCGUCAAAAGGAUUCGUCUGCCCAAGGAUGGGUCUGCGGCCUAUCAGGUAGUAGUGGGUGUAAUGUACCUACUAGCCAGCGACGGGUACGGGUUGUGAGAGCAAGAGCCCGGAGAUGGAUUCUGAGACAUGAAUCCAGGCCCUACGGGGCGCAGCAGGCGCGAAAACUUUACAAUGCGGGAAACCGUGAUAAGGGGACACCGAGUGCCAGCAUCAUAUGCUGGCUGUCCGGAUGUGUAAAAUACAUCCGUUAGCAAGGGCCGGGCAAGACCGGUGCCAGCCGCCGCGGUAACACCGGCGGCCCGAGUGGUGAUCGUGAUUAUUGGGUCUAAAGGGUCCGUAGCCGGUUUGGUCAGUCCUCCGGGAAAUCUGAUAGCUCAACUAUUAGGCUUUCGGGGGAUACUGCCAGACUUGGAACCGGGAGAGGUAAGAGGUACUACAGGGGUAGGAGUGAAAUCUUGUAAUCCCUGUGGGACCACCUGUGGCGAAGGCGUCUUACCAGAACGGGUUCGACGGUGAGGGACGAAAGCUGGGGGCACGAACCGGAUUAGAUACCCGGGUAGUCCCAGCCGUAAACGAUGCUCGCUAGGUGUCAGGCAUGGCGCGACCGUGUCUGGUGCCGCAGGGAAGCCGUGAAGCGAGCCACCUGGGAAGUACGGCCGCAAGGCUGAAACUUAAAGGAAUUGGCGGGGGAGCACAACAACGGGUGGAGCCUGCGGUUUAAUUGGACUCAACGCCCGGACAACUCACCGGGGGCGACAGCAAUAUGUAGGGCCAAGCUGAAGACUUUGCCUGAAUCGCUGAGAGGAGGUGCAU
Molecule: ribosomal RNA, 874 nt
Filed under: uncultured archaeon
Lineage: Archaea
Description: bacterial SSU rRNA
Rfam family: Archaeal small subunit ribosomal RNA
Source: RNAcentral